CCUACGGGUGGCAGCAGUGAGGAAUAUUGGUCAAUGGACGCAAGUCUGAACCAGCCAUGCCGCGUGCAGGAAGACGGCUCUAUGAGUUGUAAACUGCUUUUGUACGGGGGUAAAUCGCGGUACGUGUCUCGGGUUGAACGUAUCGUACGAAUACGGAUCGGCUAACUCCGUGCCAGCAGCCGCGGUAAUACGGAGGAUCUAAGCGUUAUCCGGAUUUAUUGGGUUUAAAGGGUGCGUAGGCGGUUCGAUAAGUUAGAGGUGAAAUCCCGGGGCUCAACUCCGGAACUGCCUCUGAUACUGUCGGGCUAGAGUUUAGGUGCGGUAGGCGGAAUGUAUGGUGUAGCGGUGAAAUGCUUAGAGAUCAGACAGAACACCGAUGGCGAAGGCAGCUUACCAAGCUACAUCUGACGUUGAGGCACGAAAGCGUGGGGAGCAAACAGGAUUAGAUACCCGUGUAGUC
Molecule: ribosomal RNA, 460 nt
Filed under: uncultured bacterium
Lineage: Bacteria
Description: partial 16S ribosomal RNA
Rfam family: Bacterial small subunit ribosomal RNA
Source: RNAcentral